Molecule: ribosomal RNA, 301 nt
Filed under: uncultured bacterium
Lineage: Bacteria
Description: partial 16S ribosomal RNA
Rfam family: Bacterial small subunit ribosomal RNA
Source: RNAcentral
CAGCAGCCGCGGUAAUACGAAGGGGGCUAGCGUUGCUCGGAAUGACUGGGCGUAAAGGGCGCGUAGGCGGCGGCCAAAGUCAGGCGUGAAAUUCCUGGGCUCAACCCGGGGGCUGCGUUUGAUACUUGGUUGCUUGAGUGGGGAAGAGGGUCGUGGAAUUCCCAGUGUAGAGGUGAAAUUCGUAGAUAUUGGGAAGAACACCGGUGGCGAAGGCGGCAACCUGGUCCUUGACUGACGCUGAGGCGCGAAAGCGUGGGGAGCAAACAGGAUUAGAUACCCGCGUAGUCCCUGUCUCUUAUAC